GUAGGUGAACCUGCGGAAGGAUCAUUACCUAGAGUUGUAGGCUUUGCCUGCUAUCUCUUACCCAUGUCUUUUAAGUACCUUCGUUUCCUCGGCGGGCUCGCCCGCCGAUUGGACAAUUUAAACCAUUUGCAGUUGCAAUCAGCGUCUGAAAAAACUUAAUAGUUACAACUUUCAACAACGGAUCUCUUGGUUCUGGCAUCGAUGAAGAACGCAGCAUCUGACUGACUUCAGGUUGCGGAAUCUCGUAUGC
This 250-nucleotide unclassified non-coding RNA is filed under the name plant metagenome. RNAcentral describes it as "partial contains small subunit ribosomal RNA, internal transcribed spacer 1, and 5.8S ribosomal RNA". The stretch from base 167 to 250 matches the Rfam family "5.8S ribosomal RNA", at positions 1 to 70 of the family's 154-position model. The record is from RNAcentral.